UUCGCAAUGCCCGAAAGGGUGAACGAGCGACGCCGCGUGCGGGAUGAAGGCCUUCGGGUCGUAAACCGCUUUUGUAAGGGAAAAACUUAAUGAUGGUACCUUACGAAUAAGAGGUUACUAACUCUGUGCCAGCAGUAGCGGUAAUACAGAGACCUCAAGCGUUAUUCGGAAUCACUGGGCUUAAAGCGCGUGUAGGCGGAUGGGAACGUCGGUCUUUGAAAGCCCCCGGCUCAACCGGGGAAGCGGAGCCGAAACGACCGAUCUGGAGGGACGUAGGGGGACCUGGAACUUCCGGUGGAGCGGUGAAAUGCGUUGAGAUCGGAAGGAACGCCCGUGGCGAAAGCGAGGUCCUGGACGUCUGCUGACGCUGAGACGCGAAAGCUAGGGGAGCAAACGGGAUUAGAUACCCCGGUAGUCCUAGCCGUAAACGAUGGGCACUAAGUAGAGGGGUUUU
RNAcentral lists this ribosomal RNA (454 nucleotides) under uncultured bacterium. Its description in RNAcentral is "bacterial SSU rRNA". It matches the Rfam family "Bacterial small subunit ribosomal RNA", at positions 364 to 832 of the family's 1533-position model. The record is from RNAcentral.